CUAGCACUUCUAAGGGAGAAGAAGCAAGUAGGGUUUUUUCUAUCUAAGCUGUUUGUCAGUUCUCAUUGAUGAAUGCUCAUAGGAUAGAUGUGAAUGAAGGCCACUUCAGCCUGUUACUGAACUAAUGGUGAAGCUAAUCACUAUUCCACAGCCUCUCCAGGAGACCAAGAUUAGUGUUUGUAGAGAUUUAUGGGUAUCACAGGGAGAAGUCCGCUAAAAGCCCUCUAAAUAACAGGAACGUGGUGGGAACUCUUCUCUUUGCUGGAAGACUAUUUCAGGACAUGGGAAGAAGUCUGCGCCUUUUCCUUUUUUUUU
Non-coding RNA from Meleagris gallopavo (turkey), 315 nucleotides. NCBI's taxonomy places the organism in Eukaryota, Metazoa, Chordata, Aves, Galliformes, Phasianidae. The record is from RefSeq and is a predicted model, not a curated record.